UGAGUACGAGCUGCUACGGCAGCGAAGUGGGUGAUGUCAAGCUUCCAAGAAAAGCCCUAUACCCGUUAAGGCAUGAUGGCCUGUACCCGAAACCGACACAGGUGGGGUGGUAGAGAAUACCGAGGGGCGCGAGGUAACUCUCUCUAAGGAACUCGGCAAAAUGGCCCCGUAACUUCGGGAGAAGGGGUGCCACCGCGAGGUGGUCGCAGUGAAGAGGCCCAGGCGACUGUUUACCAAAAACACAGGUCUCCGCUAAGUCGCGAGACGAUGUAUGGGGGCUGACGCCUGCCCAGUGCCGGAAGGUUAAGGAAGCUGGUCAGCGCAAGCGAAGCUGGCGACUGAAGCCCCGGUGAACGGCGGCCGUAACUAUAACGGUCCUAAGGUAGCGAAAUUCCUUGUCGGGUAAGUUCCGACCCGCACGAAAGGCGUAACGAUCUGGGCGCUGUCUCGGAGAGAGGCUCGGCGAAAUAGAAUUGUCUGUGAAGAUGCGGACUACGUGCACCCGGACAGAAAGACCCUAUGAAGCUUUACUGUAGCUUGGUAUUGUGCCCGGGCUCUGAAUGCGCAGGAUAGGUGGGAGGCUUUGAUCCAUUGCUUGUGGGUGAUGGUGAGCCACUGGUGAGAUACCACUCUUUCAGAGCUAGGGUUCUAACGGUCACCCGUUAUCCGGGGACCGGACAGUAUCAGGUGGGCAGUUUGACUGGGGCGGUCGCCUCCUUAAAGGUAACGGAGGCGCGCAAAGGUUCCCUCAGGCUGGUUGGAAAUCAGCCGACGAGUGUAAAGGCAGAAGGGAGCUUGACUGUGAGACCUACAAGUCGAACAGGGACGAAAGUCGGCCUUAGUGAUCCGACGGUUCUGAGUGGAAGGGCCGUCGCUCAACGGAUAAAAGUUACUCUAGGAUAACAGGCUGAUCUCCCCCAAGAGUUCACAUCGACGGGGAGGUUUGGCACCUCGAUGUCGGCUCAUCGCAACCUGGGGCUGAAGUCGGUCCCAAGGGUUGGGCUGUUCGCCCAUUAAAGCGGUACGCGUGCUGGGUUCAGAACGUCGUGAGACAGUUCGGUCCAUAUCCGGUGCACGCGCAGGAACAUUGAGAGGAUUUCUCCCUAGUACGAGAGGACCGGGAGGAACGCACCUCUGGUGUACCAGUUAUCGUGCCAACGGUAAACGCUGGGUAGCCAUGUGCGGAGUGGAUAACCGCUGAAAGCAUCUAAGUGGGAAGCCCACCUCAAGAUGAGUGUUCCCAUGGCAUAAGCCAGUAAGGUCACGGGAAGAACACCCGUUGAUAGGCUCUACGUGGAAGCGUGGCAACACGUGAAGCGGAGGAGUACUAAUAGACCGAGGGCUUGACC
Molecule: ribosomal RNA, 1349 nt
Filed under: metagenome
Description: bacterial LSU rRNA
Rfam family: Bacterial large subunit ribosomal RNA
Source: RNAcentral